Molecule: non-coding RNA, 31 nt
Filed under: Homo sapiens (human)
Lineage: Eukaryota; Metazoa; Chordata; Mammalia; Primates; Hominidae
Source: RNAcentral
UGGAGCUUACAGUCUAAUUAAUUACCCUCCC